This 497-nucleotide ribosomal RNA is filed under the name uncultured bacterium. Its description in RNAcentral is "partial 16S ribosomal RNA". It matches the Rfam family "Bacterial small subunit ribosomal RNA", at positions 28 to 507 of the family's 1533-position model. The record is from RNAcentral.
GAUGAACGCUGGCGGCGUGCCUAAUACAUGCAAGUCGAGCGAACGGACGAGAAGCUUGCUUCUCUGAUGUUAGCGGCGGACGGGUGAGUAACACGUGGAUAACCUACCUAUAAGACUGGGAUAACUUCGGGAAACCGUAGCUAAUACCGGAUAAUAUUUUGAACCGCAUGGUUCAAAAGUGAAAGACGGUCUUGCUGCCACUUAUAGAUGGAUCCGCGCUGCAUUAGCUAGUUGGUAAGGUAACGGCUUACCAAGGCAACGAUGCAUAGCCGACCUGAGAGGGUGAUCGGCCACACUGGAACUGAGACACGGUCCAGACUCCUACGGGAGGCAGCAGUAGGGAAUCUUCCGCAAUGGGCGAAAGCCUGACGGAGCAACGCCGCGUGAGUGAUGAAGGUCUUCGGAUCGUAAAACUCUGUUAUUAGGGAAGAACAUAUGUGUAAGUAACUGUGCACAUCUUGACGGUACCUAAUCAGAAAGCCACGGCUAACUACGUG